Molecule: ribosomal RNA, 446 nt
Filed under: uncultured bacterium
Lineage: Bacteria
Description: bacterial SSU rRNA
Rfam family: Bacterial small subunit ribosomal RNA
Source: RNAcentral
ACCAGACUCCUACGGGAGGCAGCAGUGGGGGAUAUUGCACAAUGGGGGAAACCCUGAUGCAGCGACGCCGCGUGGGUGAAGAAGUAUUUCGGUAUGUAAAGCCCUAUCAGCAGGGAAGAAAGAAGACGGUACCUGACUAAGAAGCCCCGGCUAACUACGUGCCAGCAGCCGCGGUAAUACGUAGGGGGCGAGCGUUAUCCGGAUUCACUGGGUGUAAAGGGAGCGUAGACGGCCAAGCAAGCCAGGGGUGAAAGCCCGGGGCCCAACCCCGGGACUGCCCUUGGAACUGCAUGGCUGGAGUGCGGGAGGGGCAGGCGGAAUUCCUGGUGUAGCGGUGAAAUGCGUAGAUAUCAGGAGGAACACCGGUGGCGAAGGCGGCCUGCUGGACUGCAACUGACGUUGAGGCCCGAAAGCGUGGGGAGCAAACAGGAUUGAUACCCUAGUAC